GGGGGCGCAAGUCUCGACAGUCAAUGUCCUUAAAAUACGCAAACCGAGUGUGCUAAAAUCUCGAUAAACUUUCAGCAAACAAACAAAUGUCAACUUUUUGACAAGCGUUAAGCAGGCGUUUACGCCUUCUUACGCUCCGGUUUUAGCUUAAUAAAAUAAUCUGAAACCCAUCCGGCUUGUUAACUUCCGAUAGGCAAAAUCCGGGUGUAAUUUUUUCGGGAUAGAUCGCUGGCCUGCCGGGGACAACGAUCGAACCAUUACCGGCUAGGGUUUGGAGCAUUUUUGCCCGAUCCACAGCUUCAGAUCCGAAUAAAUAAAUCGGGAUAAGUUUGUAGAAGUAUUUUGAGAAUCUUGGCUGGACGGGGGUUCAAUCCCCCCGCCUCCACCA
This 388-nucleotide transfer-messenger RNA is filed under the name Patescibacteria group bacterium. It matches the Rfam family "transfer-messenger RNA". Rfam says of the family: Bacterial tmRNA, also known as 10Sa RNA or SsrA, is named for its dual tRNA and mRNA-like properties. The record is from RNAcentral.